Molecule: ribosomal RNA, 253 nt
Filed under: uncultured bacterium
Lineage: Bacteria
Description: partial 16S ribosomal RNA
Rfam family: Bacterial small subunit ribosomal RNA
Source: RNAcentral
GACGGGGGGGGCAAGCGUUGUUCGGAAUUACUGGGCGUAAAGCGCGCGUAGGCGGCUUUGCAAGUCAGAGGUGAAAGCCCGGGGCUCAACCCCGGAAUUGCCUUUGAGACUGCAUCGCUAGAAUUGUGGAGAGGUAAGUGGAAUUCCGAGUGUAGAGGUGAAAUUCGUAGAUAUUCGGAAGAACACCAGUGGCGAAGGCGACUUACUGGACACAUAUUGACGCUGAGGUGCGAAAGCGUGGGGAGCAAACAGG